CCUACGGGCGGCAGCAGUGGGGAAUAUUGGACAAUGGGGGGAACCCUGAUCCAGCCAUGCCGCGUGUGUGAAGAAGGCCCUCGGGUUGUAAAGCACUUUCAGUGAGGAAGAACGCCUGGUGGUUAAUACCCAUCAGGAAAGACAUCACUCACAGAAGAAGCACCGGCUAACUCCGUGCCAGCAGCCGCGGUAAUACGGAGGGUGCGAGCGUUAAUCGGAAUUACUGGGCGUAAAGCGCGCGUAGGUGGCUUGAUAAGCCGGUUGUGAAAGCCCCGGGCUCAACCUGGGAACGGCAUCCGGAACUGUCAAGCUAGAGUGCAGGAGAGGAAGGUAGAAUUCACGGUGUAGCGGUGAAAUGCGUAGAGAUCGGGAGGAAUACCAGUGGCGAAGGCGGCCUUCUGGACUGACACUGACACUGAGGUGCGAAAGCGUGGGUAGCAAACAGGAUUAGAUACCCUUGUAGUC
RNAcentral lists this ribosomal RNA (465 nucleotides) under Vreelandella stevensii. Its description in RNAcentral is "partial 16S ribosomal RNA". It matches the Rfam family "Bacterial small subunit ribosomal RNA", at positions 338 to 795 of the family's 1533-position model. Lineage: Bacteria; Pseudomonadati; Pseudomonadota; Gammaproteobacteria; Oceanospirillales; Halomonadaceae. The record is from RNAcentral.